UUGGCAUUAGGGUUAAAAUCACUGUCCAAAACCUUUUUAGGAACACCUUUCAGACCUUUUGGAGUUUGUACACCAAAAAAAAAAUGUAAAAUGAAAAAAAAAUAUUUGGGGUGUUCGGGCUUCCUGAAGGUAAUACCCGGGUAUCAGGUUUUUGGGCUAGGGUAAGGUUUGAGGUUUUUGGCGUUAGGGUUAAAAUCAAUGUCCAAAACCUUUGGAGGAACUCUUUUCCAAGCUUUUGGAGUUAGUUAGACCAAAAAAACAUGAAAAAUAAAAAAAUAUAUAUUUGGGGUGUUCGGGCAUCCUGAAGGUAAUACCCGGGUAUUAGGUUUUGGGGCUAAGGUAAGGUUUAAGGUUUUUGGUGUGAGGGUUAAAAUCACUGUCCAAAGCCUUUGUAGGAACUCUUUUCCAACCUUUUGGAGUCAGUUACACCAAGAAAAAAAUUUAAAAUGAAAAAAAAAUAUUUGGGGUGUUCGGGCUUCCUGAAGGUAAUACCCUGGUAUUAGGUUAUGGGGCUAUGGUAAGGGUUAAGGUUUUUGGAUUAGGGUUAAAAUCACUGUCCAAAACCUUUUUAGGAACAUGUUUCAGACCUUUUGGAGUUGGUUAAACCAAAAAAAAAUGUAAAAUGAAAAAAAUAUAUUUGGGGUGUUCGGGCUUCCUGAAGGACCUAUUAGGUUAUGGGACUAUGGUAAGGUUUAAGGUUUUUGGCGUUAGGGUUAAAACCACUGUCCAAAACCUUUGUAGGAACUCUUUUCAUACCUUUUGGAGUUAGUUAGACCAAAAAAAAUGAAAAAUGAAAUAAAAAUAUUUGGGGUGUUCGGGCUUCCUGAAGGUCAUCCCCGGGUAUUAGGUUUUGGGGUUAGGGUAAGGUUUAAAAUUUUUGGCGUAAGGGUUAAAAUCCCUGUCCAAAACCUUUGUAGGAACUCUUUUCCAACCUUUUGGAGUUAGACCAAAAAGGAAUGAAAAAUGAAAAGAAAAUAUUUUGGGUUUUCGGGCUUCCUGAAGGCAAUACCCAGGUAUUAGGUUAUGGGGCUUUGGAAAGUUUUAGGGUUUUUGGCAUUAGGGUUAAAAUCACUAUACGAAACCUUUGUAGGAACUCUUUUCCAACAGUUCGGAGUUAGUUAGACCAAAAAAAAAAUGAAAAAUGAAAUAAAAAAUAUUUGGGGUGUUCAGGCUUCCUGAAGGUAAUACCCGGGUAUUAGGUUAUGGGGCUUAGGAAAAGGUUUAAGGUUUUUGGCGUUAGGGUUAAAAUCACUGUCCAAAACCUUUGUAGGAACUCUUUUCCAACCUUUUGGAGUCAAUUAGACCAAAAAAAAAAGAAAAUUGAAAAAAAAAUAUAUUUGGGGUUUUCAGGCUUCCUGGAGGUAAUACCCGGGUAUUAGGUUAUGGGGCUAUGGUAAGGUUUAAGGUUUUUGGCGAUAGGGUUAAACUAACUUUCCAAAACCUUUUUAGGAACAUGUUUCAGACCUUUUGGAGUUGGUUACACCAAAAAAAAAUGUAGAAUGAAAAAAAAAUAUUUGGGGUGUUCGGGCUUCCUGAAGGUAAUACCCGGGUAUUAGGUUAUGGGGCUAUGGUAAGGGUUCAGUUUUUUGGCAUUAGGGUUAAAAUUAUUGUCCAAAACCUUUGUAGGAACUCUUUUCCAACCUUUUGGAGUUAGUUAGAACAAAAGAAAAAAGAAAAAUGAAAAAAAAAUAUUUGGGGUUUUCGGGCUUCCUGAAGGCAAUACCCGGGAAUCAGUUUCUGGGGCUUUGGAAAGGUUUAAGGUUUUUGGCGUUAGGGUUAAAAUCACUGUCCAAAACCUUUGUAGGAACUCUUUUCCAAGC
Molecule: non-coding RNA, 1820 nt
Organism: Xyrichtys novacula (pearly razorfish)
Lineage: Eukaryota; Metazoa; Chordata; Actinopteri; Labriformes; Labridae
Source: the annotation of a GenBank genome assembly